AGAACGACUCUCGGCAACGGAUAUCUCGGCUCUCGCAUCGAUGAAGAACGUAGCGAAAUGCGAUACUUGGUGUGAAUUGCAGAAUCCCGUGAACCAUCGAGUCUUUGAACGCAAGUUGCGCCCCAAGCCAUUAGGCCGAGGGCUCGUUUGCCUGGGUGUCACGU
RNAcentral lists this ribosomal RNA (164 nucleotides) under Melochia corchorifolia. Its description in RNAcentral is "5.8S ribosomal RNA". It matches the Rfam family "5.8S ribosomal RNA". Rfam says of the family: 5.8S ribosomal RNA (5.8S rRNA) is a component of the large subunit of the eukaryotic ribosome. It is transcribed by RNA polymerase I as part of the 45S precursor that also contains 18S and 28S rRNA. Functionally, it is thought that 5.8S rRNA may be involved in ribosome translocation. Lineage: Eukaryota; Viridiplantae; Streptophyta; Magnoliopsida; Malvales; Malvaceae. The record is from RNAcentral.